AAUUCACUCAAAAUUAACCAGCGAGGCUCCCCUCGACUCCCUCGACAUGCCUCUUCCUCGUUCGAUCGCCCGGUUCGCUCGGACGCAGAUCUCCCACAUCCUCCUCUUUUCAACCCAACCCGCCUAGGGUUCCUAGCCCCACGUCCGCCGCCGCGCCAUGCUACUAUUUUCCAAGCGCCGUCGCAAUGGGCUCCAUCGCCGUACAACCCUCCUACCAAAUCGCUUGAUGCGAUGGGUCAUGCCGCAUCCCCAGGCCCCACAAGAUACACCCACCAGCACUACCAGAUCGGGCGAUGAAGAGGACGCAAUCCGCCGGCGACGAGGCGGGCGGCGCCACCACGUUCGUGCUUAAGCGCCUCCGGGUACCAGGCAUGCGCGUGAGGCAAGGCGCCUCCUGGGCUCUAUCAUCGCAUCACCAACAACCCCACGGCCGAGCAGGAGGAGUGCUUCCACGGAUUCAAAUAUAUGCAAGUAGAUGCAGGCUGUAGCACAUGCUUCCAUCACCUCCCUGUGUCGCUCGAGUCAUGGGCUCCAUCGUGUGACGCACUGCAAGGAUGUCAACCAUACUGCUGCAGGGUUCAGUGCCGUCAUCUUUGUCCGCAUCUUCCGCUCGGCAGAUGGAGUCUCCAUCGUUAUAUGGCUGCAGAGGUAAGUUGCUCAAAUGAUUAACAUUAUGUUUGUGCUCCAGGUCUAAAGGAGGUAGAGGAGCUCCAGUUUGAUCCUAAGGAUGGUAUUGCUUUUUUUAAAAUUAAAUUACUUGUUCGUAUCGUAAUUUCACACUGAGAAUUUUUCUUUUCUCAACUAUUUGCUAUCUGUUGUCCCUUCGAUGUUUUAAGUGGCCAAUUUGAGUUUGCCCGAUCACAGUUUCCACAAGCAUUGUUUGGCCUUUCAAAAGUUCUGAUAGAAAAAUUCUUACAUUCUUUCUCUUACAACCAAAAGGAGAUUCUACUUCAUGUGUUGUCUUACAAGCAACGAGGCUAGCUGUCUUGCACACACCACAAAUGAAGGUUUUGGAACUCCAUUCUCCAAUAGUAUCAGUGAAUCAAACACUCCAAUCUCUCUGAAUUCUAACCCAACUUACAAUGCUAUAUAUCUGAUGCCAAGGAGUGAAAACUUGCAGCAACAUCUCCGACACCCUCUCGACGAGCUGCAAUUAGAUCAUAGCUGAGGAGGCGGCAAUGACCACUGAGGUACAACAACCACUUGACACUGAACCUAAUGCGUCCGCUUUAUCUUCAUCUACAUCAUUAAGUUCUCUUUGUGGUUUCUGAUAUUGCGGAAGCUGAAUGACAAUAGUAAUGACUGGUGGAUCCAUGUUUGCGUUUGCUGACGACAACGAUAAUGAGUUUUUACGGCUGCACUUGAGGGUGAUCGUAUCCAUGCUACCAUUCUGCAGUAUCUUGAGAUUUCUACAGUGGAGUAGUACACAACUACGUAUCACAAGUUUGAGCUUAGAUGAACAACAUGGGCACCAUCAAACGGAUAGAUCAUGUGCCCGAUGGGUCUCAUGAUGGAGUAGUUGAUAAUGGUUAUAUACAAAACAUAUCUUGACAGAGGUGGCGCCAGACGUCACAGAGAGGUACCGCGUUCGGUCCAACGAGGAGCUCCGGGCAUGGUGGGCGGUGGCCAUGGCAUUGGCCUCAUGGGUUUACUCUGACUGCCGCCGGCCAUUCUCGCAAACAAUGGCUUAGGUUUUGAGGAGGAUUAGCAUGUCACCACAUAACAACUUUGUAAGUGUGAUGUAAUACUGGCGAAUGUAUGCAUUCACACAAUCAAAGGAUUGAAUUGUGCGAAGGAUUCAUACUCCAUAUCUUUUUACCUAUCUAGACUCUAGAUCAUAUGGGAACAACCACAGUUGCUUACCUCAGCAAAUAGCAACAUCACUGCACUUGGUCCUUUUCUGCCCUUCAACAAGUUGGCCCCAGACAUAUCUUGCUUGCUUGCUGAUCUGGUGAUUGUUCAACACAACUGGACAUGUGUUGGAUGGUUAUUUUUUAUAUUCUGAAAGGAGAUCUUGUAUGCUGCAAAUGAGAUCAUUCACCAGCACACUCAAGCAGAAGUAGCAACAGAAGACACAUAUGUCUGAUGUGCUCAAGAGAAUGACGUCUCUACAAUCUGGAUGUUGCCUAGAUAGCAGAGAUCAUAAAAACAGGAGAAUCAUGGGUAAGGUGCCCCUUUCAAGUCAAUCCUUCUUAGAAGGGAUGCAACAUGUUAGUAAUUGUAUAGAUGGUUCAAUUGAUUGUGAAGUGUGUGUUCAUGGAGGUGGAAGGGGGCAUUGCGAGCCGGAUUUGUCACUACUGAGGUGGCGAACAUGGACUAGGGUUGCGGAGUGCAAAUGAAGCUAAAGACAACAUAUAAUUAUUUAGAUCAUUUCUCCCUAUAUACAUGGUUGAGUUAAAUUGGGAGUGAAGUGUAUUUCAAUUAUAUUAUGAUUGUUGUAGGAUAUAUUUUUUAUACAUACAAAAUUUUAUAUGUAUUAUAUUUACAGGUGCAAUUAAAAAAUAUCUGCAAAAUUUUAUAUGCA
Triticum urartu is the source of this 2524-nucleotide non-coding RNA. The record is from RefSeq and is a predicted model, not a curated record. Lineage: Eukaryota; Viridiplantae; Streptophyta; Magnoliopsida; Poales; Poaceae.